UACGGAGGGUGCAAGCGUUAUCCGGAUUCACUGGGUUUAAAGGGUGCGUAGGUGGCUUUGUAAGUCAGUGGUGAAAUCUUAGAGCUUAACUCUAAAACUGCCGUUGAUACUGCUUAGCUUGAAUCAAGUAGAGGUGGAUGGAAUAAUACAUGUAGCGGUGAAAUGCUUAGAUAUGUAUUAGAACACCGAUUGCGAAGGCAGUUCACUAUGCUUGUAUUGACACUGAGGCACGAAAGCGUGGGGAUCAAACAGG
Molecule: ribosomal RNA, 253 nt
Filed under: uncultured bacterium
Lineage: Bacteria
Description: partial 16S ribosomal RNA
Rfam family: Bacterial small subunit ribosomal RNA
Source: RNAcentral